GUGUCAGCCGCCGCGGUAAUACGGAGGGAGCUAGCGUUGUUCGGAAUUACUGGGCGUAAAGCGCACGUAGGCGGCUUUGUAAGUUAGAGGUGAAAGCCCGGAGCUCAACUCCGGAACUGCCUUUAAGACUGCAUCGCUUGAAUCCAGGAGAGGUGAGUGGAAUUCCGAGUGUAGAGGUGAAAUUCGUAGAUAUUCGGAAGAACACCAGUGGCGAAGGCGGCUCACUGGACUGGUAUUGACGCUGAGGUGCGAAAGCGUGGGGAGCAAACAGGAUUAGAAACCCCAGUAGUCC
Molecule: ribosomal RNA, 292 nt
Filed under: uncultured bacterium
Lineage: Bacteria
Description: partial 16S ribosomal RNA
Rfam family: Bacterial small subunit ribosomal RNA
Source: RNAcentral